AGCAGCCGCGGUAAUUCCAGCUCCAAUAGCGUAUAUUAAAGUUGUUGCAGUUAAAAAGCUCGUAGUUGAACUUCAGGCCUGUCCAGACGGUCCGCCUUAAUUGGUGUGUACUGUCCUUGGGUGAGUCCUACCUUCUGGCGAAGCGGCAUGGCCUUAAUUGGUUGUGUCGGGGAACCAGGACUUUUACUGUGAAAAAAUUAGAGUGUUCAAAGCAGGCAAAUAUGCUCGAAUACAUUAGCAUGGAAUAAUGGAAUAGGACGAUGGUUCUAUUUUGUUGGUUCUAGGACCGUUGUAAUGAUUAAUAGGGAUAGUUGGGGGCAUUAGUAUUCAAUUGUCAGAGGUGAAAUUCUUGGAUUUAUUGAAGACUAACUACUGCGAAAGCAUUUGCCAAGGAUGUUUUCAUUAAUCAAGAACGAAAGUUAGGGGAUCGAAGACGAUCAGAUACCGUCGUAGUCUUAACCAUAAACUAUGCCGACUAGGAAUCGGGCGAUGUUGACAAAAUGACUCGCUCGGCA
Molecule: unclassified non-coding RNA, 515 nt
Filed under: uncultured Glomus
Lineage: Eukaryota; Fungi; Glomeromycota; Glomeromycetes; Glomerales; Glomeraceae
Also listed under: 1 other name
Description: bacterial SSU rRNA
Rfam family: Eukaryotic small subunit ribosomal RNA
Source: RNAcentral